UGGGGAAUUUUGGACAAUGGGCGAAAGCCUGAUCCAGCAAUGCCGCGUGUGUGAAGAAGGCCUUCGGGUUGUAAAGCACUUUUGUCCGGAAAGAAAUCCUUGGCUCUAAUACAGUCGGGGGAUGACGGUACCGGAAGAAUAAGACCGCGUAACUACGUGCCAGCAGCCGCGGUAAUACGUAGGGUGCAAGCGUUAAUCGGAAUUACUGGGCGUAAAGCGUGCGCAGGCGGUUUGCUAAGACCGAUGUGAAAUCCCCGGGCUCAACCUGGGAACUGCAUUGGUGACUGGCAGGCUAGAGUAUGGCAGAGGGGGGUAGAAUUCCACGUGUAGCAGUGAAAUGCGUAGAGAUGUGGAGGAAUACCGAUGGCGAAGGCAGCCCCCUGGGCCAAUACUGACGCUCAUGCACGAAAGCGUGGGGAGCAAACAGGAUUAGAUACCCUGGGUAGUCCACGCCCCUAAAACGAUGUCAACUAGUUGUUGGGGAUUCAUUUCCUUAGUAACGUAGCUAACGCGUGAAGUUGACCGCCUGGGGAGUACGGUCGCAAGAUUAAAACUUAAAUGAAUUGACGGGGUCAUAGCUGUUUCCU
RNAcentral lists this ribosomal RNA (587 nucleotides) under uncultured bacterium. RNAcentral's name for it is "partial 16S ribosomal RNA". It matches the Rfam family "Bacterial small subunit ribosomal RNA", at positions 355 to 1375 of the family's 1533-position model. The record is from RNAcentral.